RNAcentral lists this ribosomal RNA (426 nucleotides) under Didymium verrucisporum. RNAcentral's name for it is "SSU rRNA". It matches the Rfam family "Eukaryotic small subunit ribosomal RNA", at positions 1230 to 1644 of the family's 1831-position model. The record is from RNAcentral. Lineage: Eukaryota; Evosea; Eumycetozoa; Physariida; Didymiaceae. RNAcentral also lists the same sequence under 1 other name.
ACACGUAUGAAAGACAAGCUGAAAGACUUUUCUCAAUGAUGUAAGUGGUGGUGCAUGGUCGUUCUUAGUUCGUGGAUUGAUUUGUCUGGUCUAUUCCGAUAACGAGCGAGACCCCUACGUUCCUAAUAGGGGCGGCAGCCCGGCUUACCCUCUCGGGGGUCUGCUAGCAGCCGCCUAAUUAGCUUCUUAGACGUAUCAGAGCCGAUAAGGUUCUUGAAAUGGGUUAAUAACAGGUCAGUCAUGCCCUUAGAUGUUCUGGGCCGCACGCGCGUUACAAUGGUAUACAUUAGAACGUGCUCUUCGGGCUUUUCCGCGGCCUACUGGCCGCGGUAAUCCCUAGUCUCUCCCUUGACUGGGCCAGACUAUUGCAAUUAUUGGUCUCCAACGAGGAAUUUUUAGUAGUCGCAGGUCAUUAACCUGCGACGA